AUACAUGCAGUCGAACGAAGGCUUCGGCCUUAGUGGCGCACGGGUGCGUAACGCGUGGGAAUCUGCCUUGGGGUUCGGAAUAACUUCUGGAAACGGAAGCUAAUACCGGAUGAUGACGUAAGUCCAAAGAUUUAUCGCCCUGAGAUGAGCCCGCGUCGGAUUAGCUAGUUGGUGGGGUAAAGGCCUACCAAGGCGACGAUCCGUAGCUGGUCUGAGAGGAUGAUCAGCCACACUGGGACUGAGACACGGCCCAGACUCCUACGGGAGGCAGCAGUAGGGAAUAUUGGACAAUGGGCGAAAGCCUGAUCCAGCAAUGCCGCGUGAGUGAUGAAGGCCUUAGGGUUGUAAAGCUCUUUUACCCGGGAUGAUAAUGACAGUACCGGGAGAAUAAGCCCCGGCUAACUCCGUGCCAGCAGCCGCGGUAAUACGGAGGGGGCUAGCGUUGUUCGGAA
This 452-nucleotide ribosomal RNA is filed under the name uncultured bacterium. Its description in RNAcentral is "bacterial SSU rRNA". It matches the Rfam family "Bacterial small subunit ribosomal RNA", at positions 51 to 550 of the family's 1533-position model. The record is from RNAcentral.